UUUCCGUAGGUGAACCUGCGGAAGGAUCAUUAUUGAACUACCGAGGUUCGAGGGCUGUCGUUGCUCCGAUAGGUCCUGCACCCCUGAGUGCAUUCACACCCAUCCAUCUUUUCUCUAAGAGCACUACCGGGGGGGUCCCUCUUUGGCUUGUCUGGAGGGGGGCUUAGGUUUUUACUCAAACUACAAUUAAUCGUAGAAUGUAAUUUUAGUUUUUGUGAAAACGAAAACCUUACAACUUUCAACAACGGAACUCUUGGCUCUCGCAACGAUGCAGCAAGA
This 279-nucleotide unclassified non-coding RNA is filed under the name plant metagenome. RNAcentral's name for it is "partial contains small subunit ribosomal RNA, internal transcribed spacer 1, and 5.8S ribosomal RNA". The record is from RNAcentral.